GAAACUGGGGAAACUUUGAGUGCAGAAGAGGAGAGUUGGAAUUCCACGUUGUAGCGGUGAAAUGCGUAGAGAUGUGGAGGAACACCAGUGGCGAAGGCGACUCUCUGGUCUGUAACUGACGCUGAGGAGCGAAAGCGUGGGGAGCGAACAGGAUUAGAUACCCUGGUAGUCCACGCCGUAAACGAUGAGUGCUAAGUGUUAGGGGGUUUCCGCCCCUUAGUGCUGCAGCUAACGCAUUAAGCACUCCGCCUGGGGAGUACGGUCGCAAGACUGAAACUCAAAGGAAUUGACGGGGGCCCGCACAAGCGGUGGAGCAUGUGGUUUAAUUCGAAGCAACGCGAAGAACCUUACCAGGUCUUGACAUCCUCUGACAAUCCUAGAGAUAGGACGUCCCCUUCGGGGGCAGAGUGACAGGUGGUGCAUGGUUGUCGUCAGCUCGUGUCGUGAGAUGUUGGGUUAAGUCCCGCAACGAGCGCAACCCUUGAUCUUAGUUGCCAGCAUUCAGUUGGGCACUCUAAGGUGACUGCCGGUGACAAACCGGAGGAAGGUGGGGAUGACGUCAAAUCAUCAUGCCCCUUAUGACCUGGGCUACACACGUGCUACAAUGGACAGAACAAAGGGCAGCGAAACCGCGAGGUUAAGCCAAUCCCACAAAUCUGUUCUC
RNAcentral lists this ribosomal RNA (664 nucleotides) under Bacillus subtilis. Its description in RNAcentral is "bacterial SSU rRNA". It matches the Rfam family "Bacterial small subunit ribosomal RNA", at positions 629 to 1289 of the family's 1533-position model. Lineage: Bacteria; Bacillati; Bacillota; Bacilli; Caryophanales; Bacillaceae. The record is from RNAcentral.